UGUCGAUAAAUGAAAGCUGCACUGAAAAAAAGAAAUAGCUGAACCAGUUUUGCUAUUUGCAAAUUUCUUUAAUAGAUACCAAACUUUGGUUGUAAUUAUCUAAACCAAUGUAACUGCAUGUCCCAAACCAGAUAAGCUAAUCAGUUCUUGAUAAUCAGUAAUCAAAAUGUUAGCUAUUAUUUAUUAAAAUAAACCAGUCAAACUACUUUAGCUGCAAGAACAAACUGUUUCAUAGCUGGUAACCGAACAUAUGUACUUAAAUUUAAUACAAUGUUGAUUAAAACAUUGUCAUGAAUUUAUUUAUAGAUAACACAAUCAAAGUCAUUAUUUGGACAUUCAUCAAUUUAUUUAUUUGUAGUAAACUUUUCUAGCAGCCAUUAAAUCAUCAUUUGAUUAAUAUUUGCCUAGGUAUGUCGAAUGUAUGAAGUUAAAAUAAAAAUGUAAGUAUUAUCACAAAACUGUUUAACAAUAUUUAAUUAAAAUAUUGUUAAAACUAGUUGGCACUGUUGGCAGCACUGCGUCCGAGUCAGUACAUUAAAGUUAUAUGCGAUUCACGUUAGAACUCGUUCUCUGCGUUCGGUCAUUAUUGUGUGGCUUGGCUGGUGAAGGCGGCAAAUCGAAUUGAUUUUCACAUUCCUAUUGUUUUCGGGAGAUUUGUAGCGACAUUAUGUAUAUAAAAAAACUUAGUAAACGUGUUUUCGUAAUAAAUAGUGCAAUGGCAGACGGUCAAGACGAGACCUCCGCUGAUCCUAUGAGUGACUAUUUGCGCUUAUGGGGUCUUGAAAUGUACAUAAAUUUGUUCAAAGCAUAAUAUCCAUGAUGAUAGCAUCCCUGCAUCAUCGCAUCAUCAAAUGCUGUGUGUAUCAAUAACUUGCCAAUCCUUACUGAUAGCAUCAUACAUUACCUACUAGUAUAUUGCUGAAUCAGGACUUGAAAACUUACAGAACUUGGAUAAAUAUACAGAAUGAGGAAGUACCAAACUUAAAUACAAAUGGAGUAUACAACACUUUGAGUUCAUGUAAUGAAGGAAAAGGACUACUUCUUCGCUACAAAGAAAAUGGAAUGAAUUCCUGAAAGUUAAUUCUUCUAAGUAUCUUCGCGGCGCCUCUCCCGGUGUGCACUGAAUUAUAUAAAAUGAAGAAAACAGACUAUGAAUGUUAUGUUAAAUUUUAAACUCAAGUAAUGUGUUUGACAUUAAUUUGGGCUAAGCAAUGUCUUAUUAAUAUUUGGUUAACUAUUCUUUAUUUUUAUUAGCCCUAUUUAUGUUUUAUAAUAUAUUGGUGUUUGAUUACCAGUUAUUAUACAAUGGAGAUACUACAGCGUAUGUAACUUAAAUUUAAUAAUCUGGAUUUUCUUGAGUGAAUGACAAGACAUUAAAUUGUGUUAUUUUAUUUUUUUGAACAUUUUAAAUAAAUAAUUCAAAAAAAUUACUUAUAUAAUAUACAUUUUUUUAUUCAUUAUUGCACUUAGCCCGUUAUCCCUAUGUUAAGGUGGCUGUUAGACCUGUAUAUACAUCCACAAGGCAGGACACCAUUUGAUAAUAUUAUUGGGAUUUACUGGAUUGAUAUGAUUAAUCAUAUCAAUCCAGUACAUCCCAAUAAUAUUGAAGGUGGCCUGUAGAUCCAGGUCCAAUAGCAGAUCUAGGACCAGCUACUGGUAAAUAAACCAACAGGAGCAGGUAAACAAACAAUGCUGUUACCUCCACAUAAAGUGUUUGUCUACUAGUAAUGAAACAGAUUAGCAAGAGAUAACCACACCUUAACAUUAAUUAUUAAACAAAUAAUUUAAUAUUUCUUACUGAACUGUUAGAUUUACUAGUUAUUUAACACUUUAGCUUUAAUUAGCCAAAGUAACUUUGCUAAAGCAACUUUACCGGAGCACUAUUGACAGCCAAACAGUUUAGUUCAAAUAACAAAACUAAGUUAUCACCAGUUACCUAAAAGAAGUUAAUAUAAUAUUACUAAACUCUGUUUACAAAACAUGUUUUAGUUACUUGUAGCCCUCAGUUUAGUAGUCACUCGAUUUUGGUGAUAUGCAGCUAAACUUUUAGCUACUAGCAACCAUUUUUUUUUUUCAGUGUGUUUUAAUUAAGUUG
This is a long non-coding RNA of Plodia interpunctella (Indianmeal moth), 2095 nucleotides long. RefSeq lists it as uncharacterized. The transcript has 3 exons. The record is from RefSeq and is a predicted model, not a curated record. NCBI's taxonomy places the organism in Eukaryota, Metazoa, Arthropoda, Insecta, Lepidoptera, Pyralidae.